Molecule: long non-coding RNA, 368 nt
Organism: Drosophila serrata
Lineage: Eukaryota; Metazoa; Arthropoda; Insecta; Diptera; Drosophilidae
Source: RefSeq, a predicted model, not a curated record
UUUUUUAAGUGCAUAAAAAGAAUAAAUUGAGUUUACAGAGAUUUAACUAGUUGAAUUAUACACAUACAUACAUGCGUAUGUAUGUAUGCAUUUAUCUUUGAAACGUUUACACCACGUUUUCAAUUCUAAUAAGAAGAAAAAAGAUGGCGGCGAAGAAGAGCAAAAAAAGAAGGCAGGAACAAAGUCGCACAUGUUUAUGACGUGCUUAUGAAAGCGAAUUAUGAAAAAGGGAGGAUGAGAGGAUUUCUCCUGGGAACAGCAAAUACUCGCAUGGAUUAUAUGUAUUCAGAUUCACAGCUGGAACCCGAAUACCUGGACGCAGGUACGACAGGUUGAAAAUCGAACGAAAACACAACAUCGGCGGAAAA